GGGGGGGGGGGGGGGGGGGGCGGGGGCGGGGGGGGGGGGGGAGCGGACGAGAAGGUUGCUUCUCUGAUGGUAGCGGCGGACGGGGGAGGAACACGUGGAUAACCUACCUAUAAGACUGGGAUAAAUUCGGGAAACCGGAGCGAAUACCGGAUAAUAUUUUGAACCGCAUGGUUCAAAAGUGACAGACGGUCUUGCUGUCACUUAUAGAUGGAUCCGCGCUGCAUUAGCUAGUUGGUAAGGUAACGGCUUACCAAGGCAACGAUGCAUAGCCGACCUGAGAGGGUGAGCGGCCACACUGGAACUGAGACACGGUCCAGACUCCUACGGGAGGCAGCAGUAGGGAAUCUUCCGCAAUGGGCGAAAGCCUGACGGAGCAACGCCGCGUGAGUGAUGAAGGUCUUCGGAUCGUAAAACUCUGUUAUUAGGGAAGAACAUAUGUGUAAGUAACUGUGCACAUCUUGACGGUACCUAAUCAGAAAGCCACGGCUAACUACGUG
This 497-nucleotide ribosomal RNA is filed under the name uncultured bacterium. RNAcentral's name for it is "partial 16S ribosomal RNA". It matches the Rfam family "Bacterial small subunit ribosomal RNA", at positions 27 to 507 of the family's 1533-position model. The record is from RNAcentral.